RNAcentral lists this ribosomal RNA (492 nucleotides) under uncultured bacterium. RNAcentral describes it as "partial 16S ribosomal RNA". It matches the Rfam family "Bacterial small subunit ribosomal RNA", at positions 29 to 507 of the family's 1533-position model. The record is from RNAcentral.
AGUGAACGCUGGCGGUAGGCCUAACACAUGCAAGUCGAACGGCAGCACAGUAAGAGCUUGCUCUUACGGGUGGCGAGUGGCGGACGGGUGAGGAAUACAUCGGAAUCUACUUUUUCGUGGGGGAUAACGUAGGGAAACUUACGCUAAUACCGCAUACGACCUACGGUUGAAAGCAGGGGAUCUUCGGACCUUGCGCGAUUGAAUGAGCCGAUGUCGGAUUAGCUAGUUGGCGGGGUAAAGGCCCACCAAGGCGACGAUCCGUACCUGGUCUGAGAGGAUGAUCAGCCACACUGGAACUGAGACACGGUCCAGACUCCUACGGGAGGCAGCAGUGGGGAAUAUUGGACAAUGGGCGCAAGCCUGAUCCAGCCAUACCGCGUGGGUGAAGAAGGCCUUCGGGUUGUAAAGCCCUUUUGUUGGGAAAGAAAAGCAGCAGGUUAAUACCCCACUGUUCUGACGGUACCCAAAGAAUAAGCACCGGCUAACCUCGUG